This 497-nucleotide ribosomal RNA is filed under the name uncultured bacterium. Its description in RNAcentral is "partial 16S ribosomal RNA". It matches the Rfam family "Bacterial small subunit ribosomal RNA", at positions 28 to 507 of the family's 1533-position model. The record is from RNAcentral.
GAUGAACGCUGGCGGCGUGCCUAAUACAUGCCAGUCGAGCGAACGGACGAGAAGCUUGCUUCUCUGAUGUUAGCGGCGGACGGGUGAGUAACACGUGUAUAACCUACCUAUAAGACUGGGAUAACUUCGGGAAACCGGAGCUAAUACCGGAUAAUAUUUUGAACCGCAUGGUUCAAAAGUGAAAGACGGUCUUGCUGUCACUUAUAGAUGGAUCCGCGCUGCAUUAGCUAGUUGGUAAGGUAACGGCUUACCAAGGCAACGAUGCAUAGCCGACCUGAGAGGGUGAUCGGCCACACUGGAACUGAGACACGGUCCAGACUCCUACGGGAGGCAGCAGUAGGGAAUCUUCCGCAAUGGGCGAAAGCCUGACGGAGCAACGCCGCGUGAGUGAUGAAGGUCUUCGGAUCGUAAAACUCUGUUAUUAGGGAAGAACAUAUGUGUAAGUAACUGUGCACAGCGUGACGGUACCUAAUCAGAAAGCCACGGCUAACUACGUG